Molecule: ribosomal RNA, 497 nt
Filed under: uncultured bacterium
Lineage: Bacteria
Description: partial 16S ribosomal RNA
Rfam family: Bacterial small subunit ribosomal RNA
Source: RNAcentral
GAUGAACGCUGGCGGCGUACCUAAUACAUGCAAGUCGAGCGGACGGACGAGAAGCUUGCUUCUCGGAUGUUAGCGGCGGACGGGUGAGUAACACGUGGAUAACCUACCUAUAAGACGGGGAUAACUUCGGGAAAGCGGAGAUAAUACCGGAGAAGAUUUUGAACCGCAGGGUGCAAAGGAGAGAGACGGUGGUGCGGGAAGGAAUAGAGGGAUCCGCGCUGCAUGAGCUGGUUGGUAAGGUAAAGGCUUACCAAGGGAACUAUGCAUAGCCGACCUGAUGGGGUGAUCGGCCACCCUGGAACUUGGCCACGGUCCAGACUCCUACGGGAGGCAGCAGUCGGGAAUCUUCCGCAGUGGGCGAAAGCCUGACGGAGCAACGCCGCGUGAGUGAUGAAGGUCUUCCGAUCGUAAAACUCUGUUAUUAGGGAAGAACAUAUGUGUAAUUAACUGUGCCCAUCUUGACGGUAACUAAUCAGAAAGCCACGGCUAACUACGUG